Aplysia californica (California sea hare) is the source of this 1594-nucleotide long non-coding RNA. RefSeq lists it as uncharacterized. NCBI's taxonomy places the organism in Eukaryota, Metazoa, Mollusca, Gastropoda, Aplysiida, Aplysiidae. The record is from RefSeq and is a predicted model, not a curated record. The transcript has 2 exons.
CUCUAAAAGACAAAACAUGAACACGCAGCGUGUACACACGUUUGUUACUCUUCACAUCAUACUGUCCAAGACCACGAGUUGUCUCAUUUAAUCAACGGGGACAUUUUCCACUAUUACAGCCUUCAUCAAGUUUCAACAACUGAACUGACUAACUUAUAAACGUGUUCCCCCCCGGCUGACGUAGACUUCGAGGAAUUCUGACGUCAACACACAAAGUCGCACAGGGGACGUUUUAGGGAGAAAAAGACAACAAGUAAUCCUGUCAGUGCGAUGGGGAAUAUCGACCUCUGCUGUUCCGUCUCCGGAGGCAGGGCAAGACAGUGGAAGCAGCGAAAUCAAGUUAUGAGAACGGGCUGCUUGAGUGAAUAAUGCAAAGAUUAAGUUUCCAGUGUGUUCAAAGUAAUCAGUAUCAGAAACUCCUAAAUCUUAAAGUGUACAAUAUUCCAAAGGGAACCCGAGCAUCCUGAGACACAUUUUUAACAGACUGCCCUUACGUUUCUAGACCAUAGCUUCUGUCUUGAGCUUACAUUGUACCAAUAAAGCUCUCUCUUUUGUUUCAGAAUAUUUCGUUGCAACACUAAAACUGACAGCCUAAAAGUACCAUCUGCUUUAAAAAGACCUGGGGAAGACGCGAAACCUUCGAUAGGUGUGUACAUUUGUAUGAAAUUUGAUAUUUUAACGUAAGGAUAGGUUGUCAUCAUUCAUCCCUCUGAAAGCCUUCUUGGAGUAUUCCCAGAAGUCAUUAAUGGAGACAGCAGCCUAAAUCUCUUUCAGACUGCCAUAUAAAUCUGAAUGUUUUGGACAGCCGAUUUUUUACCAGUACUGGGGGAAUAACUUUUGUCUCCGUUGUAACAUCUGAGCUGCCGGUUUCCAAAACGGGUUUUCUCCCAAGGUCAACAGAAAGCAGCCCACGUCACCAUGAGGCACCAUAUACGAAGCAGCACAGAACAUCGUCGCAAAUCGAUCGGGAACGCAGCAGCCGACCCGUCACUUUUGAAUGAUUCUCAUCUCAAAGAUCGAAAGUUUUCUCUAGCGUCAAAUAGUCCAGACAGCUCUUCCGGGCAAAAGAUUCUUGGUGGAAAGCAUCACCCCGGAAAUGGGAGAUCAUUUUCCCUCUCUGGUUUGAUCUCGCGCAGACGUUCUCUUCCCGCCCGUGCGUUUUAUGGCACGAAAAUAUCGGAAGCUCGCAGAUAUUCUGGUCCUGGGGAACCGGAUGGCAGGAACCAGGAACUGAAUUUUUACAGAAUUAAAAUUCUUGUCGUCUGUUUUAUCCUUUUCCUCUCACUCGCAAUGCUAUUCUUGUUUAUCAAGUCACAUAAAAAUAGCUUCAAUCUCAAGGACUGGUUUUCUUUGGAGCCUUCUUCAGCUUCAAAGGCCAAGGAAAAUGUGGAUUAAUAAUUGUGAUCUGAGUAAUUUAUUCUCCAAAAUAAGUUCCUGGUGUUUCAAACUGAGCAGAGGUCUUCCGUAGACACAAUAAUUUUGUCUUUGCUUUUAAUGAGGGACCAAAUGUUGUCUUGUGUUUACAUUUCGGUGUCGGUGCGUAUUGAAUUUUGAAAUGCACAAAAUCAACUUUUAUCAUCCCAGUAACGUUUUU